GUGAGGAAUAUUGCGCAAUGGAGGCAACUCUGACGCAGCCAUGCCGCGUGCAGGAAGAAGGCGCUACGCGUUGUAAACUGCUUUUAACCGGGAAGAAACCCCAGGACGUGUCCUGGGUUGACGGUACCGGAGGAAUAAGCACCGGCUAACUUCGUGCCAGCAGCCGCGGUAAUACGAAGGGUGCAAGCGUUAUCCGGAUUCAUUGGGUUGAAAGGGUGCGUAGGCGGAGCGUUAAGUCAGUGGUGAAAUCCUGCAGCUUAACUGUAGACUUGCCAUUGAUACUGGCGCUCUUGAGUGCGCUUGAAGUGGGCGGAAUGUGCCGUGUAGCGGUGAAAUGCUUAGAUAUGGCACAGAACACCAAUUGCGAAGGCAGCUCACUAAGGCGAUACUGACGCUGAGGCACGAAAGCGUGGGGAUCGAACAGGAUUAGAUACCCUGGUAGUCC
RNAcentral lists this ribosomal RNA (445 nucleotides) under uncultured bacterium. RNAcentral's name for it is "partial 16S ribosomal RNA". It matches the Rfam family "Bacterial small subunit ribosomal RNA", at positions 354 to 796 of the family's 1533-position model. The record is from RNAcentral.